GACUCGAAGCUGCCGGAGCUGUCAGAUUGCUGGGACAAAGCCGCCCAAGUUGACCGACCUAUGGGGAGUUCACUCUUGAAUGAAGCAGCCACGAUAAUCAAAAGUGAUGAAGAAGACAAAAAAGAAGCCAACAUACGGAGGUUCACCAGAAAGAGUGACCUAUGGAAGGAUGCCGAAGAAAGGAAGGAAAACAGAGCCAAAGCUUCCACCAAAUGGCAAACCCCAACCGAG
This 231-nucleotide long non-coding RNA is filed under the name Phoenix dactylifera (date palm). RNAcentral describes it as "long non-coding RNA (PDAC_LNC007309)". Lineage: Eukaryota; Viridiplantae; Streptophyta; Magnoliopsida; Arecales; Arecaceae. The record is from RNAcentral.